GCAAAUUGGGAAGAAGUUCCAGAGAGCGGUGCUAUUUGAAAUAAGCUGAAGUAUUAUUCUGAAAGCUUGCAUGGAAGAAUGGAGGUUUGCCAGCUAUUACAAUUGGACUUUGGAGUAACUGCUGAGUGGGCCACUUCCUGGAGUCCCGAGCACAAGGAUCCUGCACAAACACACCCAGCUCUGCGUAUUCCUUCCAGGAGAGGGCAGGGGAAUACAGCUUAUUGCAGAUCUGCUCCUGAACCACAGCCAGCAUUACUCAUGGCCCAGAUCUUCCUACCUGCCUGU
RNAcentral lists this long non-coding RNA (285 nucleotides) under Gallus gallus (chicken). Its description in RNAcentral is "long non-coding RNA NONGGAT002184". Lineage: Eukaryota; Metazoa; Chordata; Aves; Galliformes; Phasianidae. The record is from RNAcentral.